Long non-coding RNA from Lycium ferocissimum, 1134 nucleotides. RefSeq lists it as uncharacterized. The transcript has 4 exons. Lineage: Eukaryota; Viridiplantae; Streptophyta; Magnoliopsida; Solanales; Solanaceae. The record is from RefSeq and is a predicted model, not a curated record.
GUGGCACAUGGUAGACCGCGUUCUCAGACAGUUCGGUAGGAAGCAACAUAUUCCGGGACUAUGUGCUGAGAUUGAUCCUUCUCAUUAUAAACGUGACAAGCGGUAUGCUAUAACAGUGGAGGAUCAAAAAAUUUUUACACAAACGGACUUUUUAUGGGAAAAUCGUCUACAAAGGGUAAUUCUGGCCGAGUAUGAAACUCAAGACCCAGAGUCAUUAUCAGAGUAUUUUUGUUGGUAUCGACGUCACUCGCGCACUUUCAUAGGAAAUCCUGCACAUAAUAUGCGUAGAGGAUACCAACACAUGGCAGGCAGGCAUGAGGCACUGGCUUUAGGGCAUCAAGAAUCGUACAGGUUGGCUCAGGAGACUAUCCAAGAUCCAACCAAGUCUAAUGAAGUGAAGGAAAUAGCAGAGAUGUUUAGCCACAUUAAUACAGAGUCCAUGGUUGCUGCCUCUCUGGGGACGAUGUUGAGUUUCGCUCCCAAUUAUACACCACCGGCAGAGUAUGUUGAGCCGUCUACUGUGUAAGUGCCUCGUCAUCAACGUCCUAAUGUACCAAGACCUGUGGCGCGUGGUAAAGGACGCCAAUCAGGUAACAGACGGGGUCGAGGUCCCGUGGAUCACCAGUUGGUUGAUGAGGAAGAGGUUCGUUUUGAUCAAGAUAUACCCAGCUCAACGAUGCUUGCAGCUGAUGAUGCAUAUUACCCAAUAAUAGAUUUUGGUAUGUCCAACUCAUUGACCUCGGUUCUCGAGGUCCAAUCACCAGCGGUAAUCAGAAGUGAGGGGCCUUUUCAGGCAUUCGCAUCGUCUGAGCCUAUUAGCCUCGCAGUUAUGACCCAAUAGUUUGGUGUUCAGAUAGGUAGCUCUUAUGGGAUGACUGAGGGGCCUUUACCUGCAUUCACUGGACAGAGCUCUUCAAUUGGGAGGAGACUGAGUUUUACUGACUCUCCCAUGACAUUUGAUGUUGGAUCCUCGCACAUUCCUGUGUCGGAUGUACAGACUUUAGAGCCACAGGAUGCGGGUGUGAUACAAGAGGAGGUUCACCAAUGUAGAUCAAAACGAGAGCGCCGGCAAACUCGGAGUGGCACGGGGGGGACAAAGGGACACUGUAAAAAUUGAAUUUUUAUUAAUUAUUG